This 301-nucleotide ribosomal RNA is filed under the name uncultured bacterium. RNAcentral describes it as "partial 16S ribosomal RNA". It matches the Rfam family "Bacterial small subunit ribosomal RNA", at positions 509 to 809 of the family's 1533-position model. The record is from RNAcentral.
CAGUAGCCACGGGAAUACGUAGGUGGCAAGCGUUGUCCGGAAUUAUUGGGCGUAAAGCGCGCGCAGGUGGUUUAAUAAGUCUGAUGUGAAAGCCCACGGCUCAACCGUGGAGGGUCAUUGGAAACUGUUAAACUUGAGUGCAGGAGAGAAAAGUGGAAUUCCUAGUGUAGCGGUGAAAUGCGUAGAGAUUAGGAGGAACACCAGUGGCGAAGGCGGCUUUUUGGCCUGUAACUGACACUGAGGCGCGAAAGCGUGGGGAGCAAACAGGAUUAGAUACCCCCGUAGUCCCUGUCUCUUAUAA